RNAcentral lists this ribosomal RNA (253 nucleotides) under uncultured bacterium. RNAcentral's name for it is "partial 16S ribosomal RNA". It matches the Rfam family "Bacterial small subunit ribosomal RNA", at positions 524 to 776 of the family's 1533-position model. The record is from RNAcentral.
UACAGAGGGGGCAAGCGUUGUUCGGAAUUACUGGGCGUAAAGGGCGCGUAGGCGGCCUGCUAAGUCGAACGUGAAAUCCCUGGGCUCAACCCAGGAACUGCGUCCGAUACUGGUUGGCUUGAAUCCGGGAGAGGGAUGUGGAAUUCCAGGUGUAGCGGUGAAAUGCGUAGAUAUCGAGAAGAACGCUCGUGGCGAAAGCGAGAUCCUGGGCAGCCUCUGACGCUGAGGCACGAAGGCCAGGGGAGCAAACGGG